RNAcentral lists this unclassified non-coding RNA (517 nucleotides) under uncultured Glomus. Its description in RNAcentral is "SSU rRNA". It matches the Rfam family "Eukaryotic small subunit ribosomal RNA", at positions 569 to 1087 of the family's 1831-position model. The record is from RNAcentral. Lineage: Eukaryota; Fungi; Glomeromycota; Glomeromycetes; Glomerales; Glomeraceae.
AGCAGCCGCGGUAAUUCCAGCUCCAAUAGCGUAUAUUAAAGUUGUUGCAGUUAAAAAGCUCGUAGUUGAAUUUCGGGAUCAAGGAAUCGGUCAUGCCUCGGUAUGUACUGGUUUUAUUGGUUCUCACCUUCUAAAGAACCAUGAUGUCAUUCAUUUGAUGUUAUGGGGAAUUAGGACUGUUACCUUGAAAAAAUUAGAGUGUUUAAAGCAGGCUUACGCUUGAAUACAUUAGCAUGGAAUAAUGAAAUAGGACAUCAGAUUCUAUUUUGUUGGUUUCUAGGAUCGAUGUAAUGAUUAAUAGGGAUAGUUGGGGGCAUUAGUAUUCAAUUGUCAGAGGUGAAAUUCUUGGAUUUAUUGAAGACUAACUACUGCGAAAGCAUUUGCCAAGGAUGUUUUCAUUAAUCAAGAACGAAAGUUAGGGGAUCGAAGACGAUCAGAUACCGUCGUAGUCUUAACCAUAAACUAUGCCGACUAGGGAUCGGAUGAUGUUUAUUUUUUAGUGACUCAUUUCGGCACC